This 625-nucleotide ribosomal RNA is filed under the name uncultured beta proteobacterium. Its description in RNAcentral is "bacterial SSU rRNA". It matches the Rfam family "Bacterial small subunit ribosomal RNA", at positions 46 to 668 of the family's 1533-position model. The record is from RNAcentral. Lineage: Bacteria; Pseudomonadati; Pseudomonadota; Betaproteobacteria.
GCCUUACACAUGCAAGUCGAACGGUAACAGGUCUUCGGAUGCUGACGAGUGGCGAACGGGUGAGUAAUACAUCGGAACGUGCCCGAGAGUGGGGGAUAACGAAGCGAAAGCUUUGCUAAUACCGCAUACGAUCUCAGGAUGAAAGCAGGGGACCGCAAGGCCUUGCGCUCACGGAGCGGCCGAUGGCAGAUUAGGUAGUUGGUGGGAUAAAAGCUUACCAAGCCGACGAUCUGUAGCUGGUCUGAGAGGACGACCAGCCACACUGGGACUGAGACACGGCCCAGACUCCUACGGGAGGCAGCAGUGGGGAAUUUUGGACAAUGGGCGCAAGCCUGAUCCAGCCAUGCCGCGUGCAGGAUGAAGGCCUUCGGGUUGUAAACUGCUUUUGUACGGAACGAAAAGACUCUGGUUAAUACCUGGGGUCCAUGACGGUACCGUAAGAAUAAGCACCGGCUAACUACGUGCCAGCAGCCGCGGUAAUACGUAGGGUGCGAGCGUUAAUCGGAAUUACUGGGCGUAAAGCGUGCGCAGGCGGUUAUGUAAGACAGGUGUGAAAUCCCCGGGCUCAACCUGGGAACUGCAUUUGUGACUGCAUAGCUAGAGUACGGCAGAGGGGGAUGGAAUU